Molecule: ribosomal RNA, 253 nt
Filed under: uncultured bacterium
Lineage: Bacteria
Description: partial 16S ribosomal RNA
Rfam family: Bacterial small subunit ribosomal RNA
Source: RNAcentral
UACGUAGGGUGCAAGCGUUGUCCGGAAUUAUUGGGCGUAAAGAGCUCGUAGGCGGUUUGUCGCGUCGAAUGUGAAAACCCGGGGCUCAACCCCGGGCCUGCAUUCGAUACGGGCAGACUAGAGUUCGGUAGGGGAGUCUGGAAUUCCUGGUGUAGCGGUGAAAUGCGCAGAUAUCAGGAGGAACACCGGUGGCGAAGGCGGGACUCUGGGCCGAUACUGACGCUGAGAAGCGAAAGCAUGGGGAGCGAACAGG